Pleuronectes platessa (European plaice) is the source of this 395-nucleotide long non-coding RNA. RefSeq lists it as uncharacterized. The transcript is spliced from 3 exons. The record is from RefSeq and is a predicted model, not a curated record. Lineage: Eukaryota; Metazoa; Chordata; Actinopteri; Pleuronectiformes; Pleuronectidae.
UGAUGGCAAGAGAAGCAGGGAUUUCACAAAUGCCAACAUUACCUUCAACCUGCAGGAGAAAACCUCAGCCCUUCUUUUCCCCUGACACCUUCAAAUGAAAUCCCAGCAUCCUGAAGUCAACUGGCCUCAGGUCUGCUGUCAGCGCUCAUCUGAGCAGCUUUGAGCUAACGCUGCACUGAAGCUUCGUUUAAGCUCCAGCAUCGCAUCAGGUAAAAACAGCAGCUUCCUCCUGAGAUGGACCUUUGAAGCAGAUUCUCUCCCUGCACCUAUUUUUCAGCAGGAAAUGAUCAGGAUGCUGUGGAGAGUGCUGCUUUUAAGAAUAAUUAAAUUGGCCACAACUGAGACCAGUUUCCAUCAUGACUGAUAAUGUGUUCCUCCUAAUCCCAUCCUGUUUC